GGUAAACGCUGGCGGCGUGCCUAAAACAUGCAAGUCGAACGCAAUCCGCAAGGGUUGAGUGGCAGACGGCUGAGUAACGCGUGGGUGACGUGCCGAUUGGUGGGGAAUAACUGCCCGAAAGGGUGGCUAAUACCGCAUACGUCCUGUUCUUCGGUGGACAGGGGAAAGCCGCAAGGCGCCGAUACGAGCGGCCCGCGUUCGAUUAGCUGGUUGGUGGGGUAACGGCCUACCAAGGCGACGAUCGAUAGCUGGUCUCAGAGGAUGAUCAGCCAGACUG
Molecule: ribosomal RNA, 277 nt
Filed under: uncultured bacterium
Lineage: Bacteria
Description: partial 16S ribosomal RNA
Rfam family: Bacterial small subunit ribosomal RNA
Source: RNAcentral